RNAcentral lists this non-coding RNA (28 nucleotides) under Mus musculus (house mouse). The record is from RNAcentral. Lineage: Eukaryota; Metazoa; Chordata; Mammalia; Rodentia; Muridae.
UGUCAGAACUGUGCCUGAGAAAGACUGA